RNAcentral lists this transfer RNA (68 nucleotides) under Macrophthalmus abbreviatus. RNAcentral's name for it is "tRNA-Met". Lineage: Eukaryota; Metazoa; Arthropoda; Malacostraca; Decapoda; Macrophthalmidae. The record is from RNAcentral.
UAAAAGAUAAGCUAAAUUAAGCUAAUGGGCUCAUACCUCAAUAAUGAAAGUCACUCUUUCUCUUUUUA